RNAcentral lists this ribosomal RNA (342 nucleotides) under Triticum aestivum (bread wheat). Its description in RNAcentral is "partial small subunit ribosomal RNA". Lineage: Eukaryota; Viridiplantae; Streptophyta; Magnoliopsida; Poales; Poaceae. The record is from RNAcentral.
AUGAAAAUCCUAAGCUGGAACUGUCGUGGGAUAGGCGAUCCCGCGUCAGUUCGAGAACUCCGCGAUCUAGUGGAGCUUAGUUCGUCUUCUAUCCUUUGCUUAGUAGAAACUCAAUUACAGAAGAGUCGUGUUGAAGGUCUUCGCUUUUCCAUAGGAUUCGAUUUCAGUUUUGGUGUUGGUAGCAAUGGUAGGAGUGGUGGCAUUUGUAUCUUUUGGAAGAACUCGGUGGAUGUUGCAAUUUUUUUCAGAGUAUCAUGUGGAUGCUUGGGUGCAAGAGCAGGGAAAGGAACAGUGCAGGUUAUCAUGUUUCUAUGGAGAAGCAACCCGGACCCUACGAUAUAA